AACACAGCCAAAGACACAACUAGAGUUGACACAACCAAUAUUGAUUGAUCUUACCUGCUACGGGAAGUCCUUGUUCUUAAAGCCAUUGUGCAUUGAAGCCCACGAGUUCCUAGCUCCAUGACUGCUUUGUCCCCCAGACUGACCAGACUUUGCUGACGGGAGGGUGGGGAUCCGUGGUAAAACCCGGACCGGAUCUAAUUUUUGUAUACUGGAAUACACAGUCGGGGAUCGGGAGUGGAAUGACCGGAAUUCCGGGAUUAUAUGGAAUGGACUGAAAUACAAAGAAACAAACGGAAACUUGUGUUGUGUCUUGUCUGAAUAAUUGUUUCUUUAUUGUAUGUUGGUUAUU
Cololabis saira (Pacific saury) is the source of this 349-nucleotide long non-coding RNA. RefSeq lists it as uncharacterized. Lineage: Eukaryota; Metazoa; Chordata; Actinopteri; Beloniformes; Belonidae. The record is from RefSeq and is a predicted model, not a curated record. The transcript has 3 exons.